This is a long non-coding RNA of Eurytemora carolleeae, 844 nucleotides long. RefSeq lists it as uncharacterized. NCBI's taxonomy places the organism in Eukaryota, Metazoa, Arthropoda, Copepoda, Calanoida, Temoridae. The transcript has 3 exons. The record is from RefSeq and is a predicted model, not a curated record.
GAUCAAGGAAGUUGUCUCCAGCUUCAAGAUCAACCAGGAGAACUGGCUUGAUGUACUCAAGGGGGUCAAGAAAUAGGAGGAUACUUACCUGUUCGAAGAUCUCUGUAACAUACUUCAGGAUAAAAUUCAAGACUACCUGAAGGGUGUGACCUCAUCUAAUCAAUAUCUGGAGAGUCUUCAAGAAUCUGAGGACGAAGAUUUCUUUUCCUGGGUUAAAAAUAGGGUUCAGAAAUGGAACAGAUCAGACACAGGGUUUCAACAAGAAGAGAUGAAGAAUUCCAAAAAAAUCAAAAUCAUCGAUUUACAGACUCAAACUCAGAAUUUGGAAUCACAGCUAAAAAGCAUAUCAAAUAGAAAAAAAAUAUUAAAAAAUAUACACGAGAAAAUAAGGAAAAGGCAAGAAAGAUCUAGAUUUUAAAGUUCAAAGCCCUGUUUAAUUGCCCUUGUCAUGAUAUGGAGGGAGUAAUGUUUCCUUGAAGGACAUAGUUAAGCAUAUCAAACAUUGUGAUUAUAUUGAGUUUAGAAAUUGUUAUCUGGAGCUGAAUACAGAAAUGAACAUAUAAGACUUGAUAUAGGAGCUGUUGUUUACAAACUGGAAGAAUAUGACAUCUGGUUUGUGAUUGUUAGAACUUGGAUUAGUGGAUCAGUGUGUUGCUCUACAUCAUGUAUUACAAUAAAGAAAAAAACAAUUUAGAUAUUUUCAUAAUAGAGUUAUGAAAUAUUAAACGGUCAAAUGUGCUCCUAUGGGGAUAUCAGUUAAAGAUGCUUUCAACAAUAACUUCACAACGACAAUGAAUAAUGAACGUGCUCUUGUGUUGACAUUAAAAUAUAAAAAGCAUAACCA